CUACGGGAGGCAGCAGUGGGGAAUCUUGCGCAAUGGGCGAAAGCCUGACGCAGCAACGCCGCGUGGGGGAUGACGGCCUUCGGGUUGUAAACCUCUUUCGACAGGGACGAAGCUUUCGGGUGACGGUACCUGUAGAAGAAGCACCGGCUAACUACGUGCCAGCAGCCGCGGUAAUACGUAGGGUGCGAGCGUUGUCCGGAUUUAUUGGGCGUAAAGAGCUCGUAGGCGGUUUGUCGCGUCGGCCGUGAAAACCUGCAGCUUAACUGUGGGCGUGCGGUCGAUACGGGCAGACUUGAGUUCGGCAGGGGAGACUGGAAUUCCUGGUGUAGCGGUGAAAUGCGCAGAUAUCAGGAGGAACACCGGUGGCGAAGGCGGGUCUCUGGGCCGAUACUGACGCUGAGGAGCGAAAGCAUGGGGAGCGAACAGGAUUAGAUACCCUGGUAGUCCAUGCCGUAAACGUUGGGCGCUAGGUGUGGGGAUGGGUUCCACCGUUUCCGUGCCGUAGCUAACGCAUUAAGCGCCCCGCCUGGGGAGUACGGCCGCAAGGCUAAAACUCAAAGGAAUUGACG
Molecule: ribosomal RNA, 569 nt
Filed under: uncultured bacterium
Lineage: Bacteria
Description: bacterial SSU rRNA
Rfam family: Bacterial small subunit ribosomal RNA
Source: RNAcentral